GGCCAGAGACCGAUAGCGCACAAGUAGAGUGAUCGAAAGAUGAAAAGCACUUUGGAAAGAGAGUUAAACAGUACGUGAAAUUGUUGAAAGGGAAGCGCUUGCAACCAGACUUGCGUGCGGCCCGUCACCUGGUGCUCGCACCGGGGCACUGGGUCGCGCGCAGGCCAGCAUCGGUUUGGGUGGUUGGAGAAAGGCCGGGAGAACGUGGCUCCCUUGGGUAGUUACAGCUCCGGCGCCAUGCAGCCUACCCAGACCGAGGACCGCGCUUCGGCUAGGAUGCUGG
Molecule: ribosomal RNA, 283 nt
Filed under: Chlorociboria aeruginosa
Lineage: Eukaryota; Fungi; Ascomycota; Leotiomycetes; Helotiales; Chlorociboriaceae
Description: partial 28S ribosomal RNA
Rfam family: Eukaryotic large subunit ribosomal RNA
Source: RNAcentral